ACCUUAAAGAUCAUCUCUAUUCAUCUCUUUUAUUUUCAGACGCAAAUAUAUGAAAUAUGAGGGGAGGAGGGGUCCUCAUUAAAAGAGUUGAGCACCUUGACUAUAACUUUUGGAUCUUAACCACAGCUUAAAAGGGGAGAAAAACUCACAAGGAAUAACAGCCUAAAACACUAUGUGAUUAAAUAGCACACUGAAGGAUUUUUGUGUGUUUAUUUUUGGGAUGGACAGAAAGAGGAAUGAAGGAAUUUAACUCAAGGAAGGAGAACGACAGCAGCAAAAUUGAGAUUAGCAAGUAAAGGAAGUGUUGGUGGAAAGGCAGCAAAUUAUUGUGGCAAGAAUUUGGUAUGGAAGAAAUUUGGUGAAAUGGAAAAUGUGUUGAAUUAGGAAAAGGAAAAAUGAAUUCUAGCUGUAUCUCAGUCACUAAGAUUCUCUUACAGCAACACACCCAACUUCUCUGAGUCUCAGUUAUCACAAGAGUGAAAUGAAAGAUCUGAGCUGGAUGAUCCGAGAUGCCUUUCAGUUCUGAAAUGCAGUGUUCUGAAAGCUAACGAGAUUGGAACUGAAAUCUAGCAGUAAUUUAAUUUUAAUACUAUAUUUUAUUUAACCCAGUAUACCCCAAUAUCAUUUCAAUGUGUAAUCAAAAAAUAUUAAAUUUUUGUAUGUCUUUGAAA
Long non-coding RNA from Equus quagga, 671 nucleotides. RefSeq lists it as uncharacterized. The record is from RefSeq and is a predicted model, not a curated record. The transcript has 2 exons. Lineage: Eukaryota; Metazoa; Chordata; Mammalia; Perissodactyla; Equidae.